AUGCUGGGAUUGGGAUGAGAAACAAGGACUAAUAUGUCUAAUUUUUUUUAUAUUAUUUUAUAUCCAUAUUUCAACAAAGAUGAGUUUUAUCAUGAUGCUUUUUUUUCUUUUAUAGUAAUGAUUCUACUUGUUUGAUCUCAGUCAUUAAAAUUAUUUAUAGUAACUAUUUUCUUGUUUAAUCUUGAUCAUUAAAACUAACAUGGUAAGUCGGUUAAUAUUUUUUUAAUAAAAAAAUAGCAGAUCAGCAUAGGAGAGAGAAAAGAGGAGAGAGGAGGUAAGAAAGUGUGGGAU
This 291-nucleotide long non-coding RNA is filed under the name Elaeis guineensis (African oil palm). RNAcentral describes it as "long non-coding RNA (EGUI_LNC024188)". Lineage: Eukaryota; Viridiplantae; Streptophyta; Magnoliopsida; Arecales; Arecaceae. The record is from RNAcentral.